This is a long non-coding RNA of Leptidea sinapis, 628 nucleotides long. RefSeq lists it as uncharacterized. The transcript has 3 exons. NCBI's taxonomy places the organism in Eukaryota, Metazoa, Arthropoda, Insecta, Lepidoptera, Pieridae. The record is from RefSeq and is a predicted model, not a curated record.
UAUUUUAAUUUAAUCUGUGGUAGUUUCGCGGUUAUUUGGUUUAAAAUUUUUCAGUAGUAAUAUAAAAGUUUUAAGCAAGUAAGUUUUAUUUAAUUAUUAAUAUUAAACUAAAAAUAUCUACUUAUAGAUCUUAGAAACAUAAUUUUUAAACUAUUUUUUACAGUUUAAAUAAAAUGUCUGCCACGGGUACUCAAAUCGAAACCCUUAUGGAUUUCAUGAUGAAAAAUCCAGAUUUAGCCCGUGGCCUUAUACAUAGCGUAGAGGGUCGUGUUCAAUCAAAAAGAUUGUGGGAUAAUAUCACAAGCCAUUUAAAUAGCCUUGGAGGUGCUGUAAAAACUGUGCAGCAGUGGAAGAAGCCUUUAGAACAGCCUACACCAAUGACAAUUACUGAAACCAUAUCAAACACCUCUACUAACAAAGAGACCCUUGAAGCUACUCCUGAUAUUGAUUCAGAAGUACACAAUAUUCAAGCAUCAAGGCGGCCACGCAGACGGGUACGUGUGUCACAGCCCGACAUAAAGCAACAAAUCCUUCGCCUUGAAGUAGAUAAAAGGGAUAUCCUAGCAGGCAUCCUGGAGGAAUUAAAAGAAUUGAAUAAUAAUUUGAAAAAUAUAAUUGAAAAACUUUA